GAGCCCCGCCGCGCCGUGUAGUGGGGCAUGGAGAUGGGUUCCGGGGGCGUAGCUCCCAUGAGUUUCCGCAGCCAAUCCCCUGGGCUUCCAUCGGCCCCUAAGAUUUGGCCGCCGCUCCCAUGGGCUUCUGCGGCCGCGUCCCCGCGCUUCCACCGGCGAUGCCCCGUUGUAUUCUGACCAGCGUUGUCCGUGUAGUGGCUGUUCUGCGGGAGGCAACAACGCGUAGCACGGGAGCCGGUUGAACCGGAACAUCACUGGUCAACAACCACAUCUUUAGACCCGCAAAAAAAAAAACCACAUCUUUAGGCAGCAGGCUGCAAUACCAAGGAACUGUUCUUCGUUCCUGUUCCUGGUGCCUAAAUCGCGGGGUGAUUUGGAUCUUAGCGACAUGUUCUGAAUGAUGGCUGAAAACCAUCAAAUUGUAGUCAAUUUAGCAGUAUCCAGUGUCAAGAAAAAUCACCGAUUCGUUUUCUUCAUCUUUCGAUUUGUAUGAUUCAAUCUUAGUACUAGUAGAUUUCAGAGUAAUGCAUAGGUUCUACAGCUCGUUGUUGUUAUUGUUGCUGGUUGGAUUCAGCAAUUUGAUUUCUUUUUCAUGUCCAGGCUGGGCUGAACGCAAUCAAUGAUGGCUUUUACAAGGUACAUGUCUAAUGCCGGGACUAUAGCGUUGAGGAAGGCAAUAUGCGACAAGCUUCAGAGUGUGUGCGCAUGCGGAUGAAUUUCUCAUUUGCAGAAUAUUCAGAUUGGAUAAGUAGUCAAAUUGACUUACUCAAUGUUCGGAUAUUCAUAUGCAGAGGAGAAUGACCAGAUCGGGUGCUAGUGCGAGACAGAGCUAACCGUAUGCUGGCAAGUGGAGCGAAGAAGAAAAAAUCAGAAUGUGGAAGUACGGCCAAUAUGGAGCAAACUCCAGUUUGAGGAUGUCCUUUGUUAAGGUGGCAUUUAAAUUGCCUAUUGUUGUUUUCACCUAAUAAUUGCUUCUAUGUUCUCUUUAAAGAUAAUCAGGAAACUAGUAUUAAACGUCUUAUCCUGAUCCAGGUAGCACUCAUCAAGGGAUAGCACUUUGUUAUCUUUGGGGUUCAUCCUAUUUUUUACGUUUUUUGA
Molecule: long non-coding RNA, 1098 nt
Organism: Lolium rigidum
Lineage: Eukaryota; Viridiplantae; Streptophyta; Magnoliopsida; Poales; Poaceae
Exons: 2
Source: RefSeq, a predicted model, not a curated record